GUCGAACGAACUCUGGUAUUGAUUGGUGCUUGCAUCAUGAUUUACAUUUGAGUGAGUGGCGAACUGGUGAGUAACACGUGGGAAACCUGCCCAGAAGCGGGGGAUAACACCUGGAAACAGAUGCUAAUACCGCAUAACAACUUGGACCGCAUGGUCCGAGUUUGAAAGAUGGCUUCGGCUAUCACUUUUGGAUGGUCCCGCGGCGUAUUAGCUAGAUGGUGGGGUAACGGCUCACCAUGGCAAUGAUACGUAGCCGACCUGAGAGGGUAAUCGGCCACAUUGGGACUGAGACACGGCCCAAACUCCUACGGGAGGCAGCAGUAGGGAAUCUUCCACAAUGGACGAAAGUCUGAUGGAGCAACGCCGCGUGAGUGAAGAAGGGUUUCGGCUCGUAAAACUCUGUUGUUAAAGAAGAACAUAUCUGAGAGUAACUGUUCAGGUAUUGACGGUAUUUAACCAGAAAGCCACGGCUAACUACGUGCCAGCAGCCGCGGUAAUACGUAGGUGGCAAGCGUUGUCCGGAUUUAUUGGGCGUAAAGCGAGCGCAGGCGGUUUUUUAAGUCUGAUGUGAAAGCCUUCGGCUCAACCGAAGAAGUGCAUCGGAAACUGGGAAACUUGAGUGCAGAAGAGGACAGUGGAACUCCAUGUGUAGCGGUGAAAUGCGUAGAUAUAUGGAAGAACACCAGUGGCGAAGGCGGCUGUCUGGUCUGUAACUGACGCUGAGGCUCGAAAGUAUGGGUAGCAAACAGGAUUAGAUACCCUGGUAGUCCAUACCGUAAACGAUGAAUGCUAAGUGUUGGAGGGUUUCCGCCCUUCAGUGCUGCAGCUAACGCAUUAAGCAUUCCGCCUGGGGAGUACGGCCGCAAGGCUGAAACUCAAAGGAAUUGACGGGGGCCCGCACAAGCGGUGGAGCAUGUGGUUUAAUUCGAAGCUACGCGAAGAACCUUACCAGGUCUUGACAUACUAUGCAAAUCUAAGAGAUUAGACGUUCCCUUCGGGGACAUGGAUACAGGUGGUGCAUGGUUGUCGUCAGCUCGUGUCGUGAGAUGUUGGGUUAAGUCCCGCAACGAGCGCAACCCUUAUUAUCAGUUGCCAGCAUUAAGUUGGGCACUCUGGUGAGACUGCCGGUGACAAACCGGAGGAAGGUGGGGAUGACGUCAAAUCAUCAUGCCCCUUAUGACCUGGGCUACACACGUGCUACAAUGGAUGGUACAACGAGUUGCGAACUCGCGAGAGUAAGCUAAUCUCUUAAAGCCAUUCUCAGUUCGGAUUGUAGGCUGCAACUCGCCUACAUGAAGUCGGAAUCGCUAGUAAUCGCGGAUCAGCAUGCCGCGGUGAAUACGUUCCCGGGCCUUGUACACACCGCCCGUCACACCAUGAGAGUUUGUAACACCCAAAGUCGGUGGGGUAACC
RNAcentral lists this ribosomal RNA (1413 nucleotides) under Lactiplantibacillus plantarum. Its description in RNAcentral is "bacterial SSU rRNA". It matches the Rfam family "Bacterial small subunit ribosomal RNA". The record is from RNAcentral. RNAcentral also lists the same sequence under 1 other name. Lineage: Bacteria; Bacillati; Bacillota; Bacilli; Lactobacillales; Lactobacillaceae.